This 253-nucleotide ribosomal RNA is filed under the name uncultured bacterium. RNAcentral's name for it is "partial 16S ribosomal RNA". It matches the Rfam family "Bacterial small subunit ribosomal RNA", at positions 524 to 776 of the family's 1533-position model. The record is from RNAcentral.
UACAGAGGGUGCAAGCGUUAAUCGGAAUUACUGGGCGUAAAGCGUGCGUAGUCGGUUAUUUAAGUCGGAUGUGAAAUCCCCGGGCUCAACCUGGGAAUUGCAUUCGAUACUGGAUAGCUAGAGUUCGGCAGAGGGAAGCGGAACUUCUGGUGUAGCGGUGAAAUGCGUAGAUAUCAGAAGGAACAUCAGUGGCGAAAGCGGCUUCCUGGACCAGAACUGACGAUCAGGCACGAAAGCGUGGGGAGCAAACAGG